Molecule: ribosomal RNA, 455 nt
Filed under: uncultured bacterium
Lineage: Bacteria
Description: bacterial SSU rRNA
Rfam family: Bacterial small subunit ribosomal RNA
Source: RNAcentral
GACGAACGCUGGCGGCGUGCUUAACACAUGCAAGUCGAACGGGAGUAUUGAAGAAGCUUGCUUUAGAGAUACUUUAGUGGCGGACGGGUGAGUAACGCGUGAGGAGCUGUCCUAUGCAGGGGGACAACAGCUGGAAACGGCUGCUAAUACCCCAUAAGCCGAGAGGUAAAAGGAUCAAUCCGGCAGAGGAGGUACUCGCGUCCUAUCAGCUAGUAGGUGAGGUAACGGCUCACCUAGGCGAAGACGGGUAGCCGGCCUGAGAGGGCGAACGGCCACACUGGAACUGAGAUACGGUCCAGACUCCUACGGGAGGCAGCAGUGGGGAAUAUUGGGCAAUGGUGGAAACCCUGACCCAGCGACGCCGCGUGGGUGAAGAAAUCCUUCGGGAUGUAAAGCCCUGUUGUAUGGGAAGAGCGGAAGACGGUACCAUACGAGGAAGCCCCGGAAACUACGUG